Molecule: non-coding RNA, 358 nt
Organism: Camellia sinensis
Lineage: Eukaryota; Viridiplantae; Streptophyta; Magnoliopsida; Ericales; Theaceae
Source: RefSeq, a predicted model, not a curated record
GGGUCAUAAGAUGGCUCAAUGUGAACCUCAUAAGUUGAAUUUCGGUUGUACGGAUGGGAUGGAAGACAAUACGUACGAGCGGGUGCCGCAAGGUCAAUCCUAUUAUUUUUCGUGUAUGGAUGGGACACAAGAGAGCGCAUUGCAAAUGGUGGACAAAAUUGGAAGCUCAUCUUUCAGUGAAUCAGGAAUGGCGAAUAGGUUUUGAACAGAUUCGGAACAGGUUAUAUUUGAUUCUGAAUAGGUUUUGAACAGAUUCGGAACAAAUUAUAUUUGGUUUUGAAUAGGUUUUGAACAGGUUCUGAAGAGGUUAAUUUCAGAUUUUGAACAGAUUCUGAACAGGUUUUGAACAGGUUCUGAA